CUGUUGUAAAACACUGAACCAAACAAAACAGUUAAUUUUACAGUAAGAAUAUGUUAAAAUAAUCAUAUUUAUUUGCUGAAUUUACAGAUUACUGCAAUUUAAACAGAAAAAAACUGUAAUAUACAGACAGCAAUACAUUGCAAUUAAAAUUACAACAUGACAGUGUUAAAAUUUUUUGUCAUGCAGAUUUUCUAUAGACUAUACAGAAAGUAAGCAUACUAUUUAUAAAUUCAUGUUACCUAUACUUUACAGAUGAUAAUAUGUUCAAGUACAAAAAUUAUGUUAUGUAAAACAGGCAAUGGGUCUGUUAAAGUAGGCCUAACAAAAUCAGAAAUUGCAUGAAUUUUUAUCUGUCUUCCAAAUGGACAGUUAAGGAUUAGUAGGCUACAAUAACUGUUCAUUAUAGAAAAAUGAUUUGAUUGUUAAUCAGAUGUAAAUUAAAAAAACAUUGUUUAUAUAUUUUUUUUUAUUUACAGAAUAAUUUCAUUUAGUAAUAUUUAUAAUGCAUUUUGUCCAUGUAAAAUUUACAUUCCCGUGUAAAUGAACGUCUGUAUUUGAAUGUCAACCCAUGAGCAGCAGAUUUCGGAUUAUCGCGGGAGCAGCCAUUUUGACGAACUUCACGGGUCGUUAGUAAGCGCGCGCCACUUCUGCCAGCGAGCACAUGAGGUUGUGAGGGAUGACAUGUAAAAUCGUCAUCUGUCGCACUGGUAAGUGAACAGUUCGUUUUCUUAAACUCAAAAACACAUUAAAGUACAAGCAUAUGUUUGUGACUGAUAUUUUGUCUUCAUAACGAUGCUGACGGACUGGGGGUUAAUUAGAUUGUGGGUUUUUUUUUUGUCAUUUCAUGCUGCGUAGUGUUUUUGCAGUUACCCGAGUACAGUAAAAAUCAAGCGACUUUGUUAGUUUGAUAAAAUGAUUACCUGUCGUUUUUGCAGCAAAACACUAGAGACAUUGAGGGGUUAUGUGCUGCACUGUAGAGUUCAUAGGAACGAACCCCGAUGUUUUUUCAAAUGUGUUGGCGCUGACUGCAAACGGACAUUUUGUACGUACGCAGCUUUUAAAGCUCAUUUCUAUCGGGUUCACAAUGAGUCUGCACCCCCUGUUACUGCUGGAGCCUUUGUUACAGAUUUUAAAUGUGCCAUUUCGCUGUGUGAUCAACAAUUUCACACAGUUAAAGAACUUAUAUGCCACUUAAAAGAGCAUAUAGUGGAGGGGCGACCUGUGGCAUGUCCAGUAACAGGUUGUAAAAAUACGUUCACUGUGAAAUCAUCGUUUACUGCACAUAUGUCCAGGAAGCAUCGAGCAUGUUCGGUUGAUAGCAUAAGUGACGUUUACAGGGAAACUAUUUCUCCGUCAUGUACUGUCAUCGCAUGUGGAGAUGCUUCCCAAAGCUCAAAUGAUGCAACAACAAAUGAAAGCAUUGAAUUGCCACAGAAUUUCAAUGAGUCCUUUCUUAGGAAUGUAUGUUUACUGUACCUAAAAUUGCAAGGGCAGCUCCUCCUUCCAGCUUCAACAAUACAGACAAUUGUUGAAGAGAUGCAAAAUGUACAUGAGUUAGGACAAGAUUACACUUUAAGUAAACUGCGGUCACUUUUAAAAAAUGAUAUGUCUCUUACAGAUGAUGUUGUCAGUAAAGUCUAUGAUUGUGUAAAGGAUUCAGAUUUGUUCUCUUUCUGUCAUAAGGGACCACUGAGAACAAUAUAUUCAAGAGCUCAGACAUUCAAAAAAAUGUUCCAUUACAUAGAGCCUCAGAAAGUAACAUUAGGAAAUGAUGAAAAUAUGCAACAAAGGUUUGCAUACUACAUACCUGUAAAGCAAACAUUAAGUAACUUAAUGGAAUCAGAAUUUUGGAAGAAUUCAGUGUCACAACCAUCUUGUGAAACAGACUCAGAUGAUUUUAGUGACAUAAGUGAUGGCAAAAGUCCAACCAGUUCUUCAUUGAAAAUCCAGAAUGCCUGAAACUAAUUCUCUACCAGGAUGCUUUUGAAAUUGUAAAUCCCCUCGGCUCUGCUAAGAAAAAGCACAAAGUUGUGGCAGUCUAUCUUUCUGUAGCUAAUUUACCUAUUCAUGUUCGGUCCAAUACUGAUCACAUGUCCCUUGUCUUAUUGUGUUUAGAGAAUGACUUGAAACAAUUUGGAUGUGCUGAGGUUUUCUCUGAGAUGUUAGUGGAUUUAAAAGAUUUGGAGGAAAAUGGAAUAACUGUAGGUGGUGAAACAGUCAAAGGAGCUUUGUAUUGUAUUGCCGGUGAUAAUUUAGGUUCACACAGCAUUGGUGGGUUUACUGAAAAUUUCAGUCGUUCUAAGUACUUUUGCAGGUACUGUGAAAUCACGCGAAACGAGUUUCAAAAUGAUGACCCAAAUGUUUGUGGUCCACAGCGCAGCCCUGACAAUUACAAUUCUGCGGUUCGUGAUCUACAAACUGAAGACAACAAAGGCAUAAAGAAAUGUCUGACUCUGAGAGAACGUUUCUACGCACCGCUAUCACUGAGGUCUUGCCUGACCUUCCAGAGGUGACAAAAGACAUUUUAGAAGAGACCUUGCAAUCUCUUGGUGUGGAGACAUAUGAUGAUUUUAAUUUUAUUGAGGAAGCUGAUUUGCUGUCAGCGUUGAGGCCAAUUCAAGCCCGAAAAGUCCUUGCUGCAUGGAAGCUGAGAUGCCAGACUCCUGAAAGCAGCAGCAGCAGCUCAUCUCUUGAUACCUCGCCAAGGCCUUCAACAACCUUAGAGUCUCUUUCACCCAGAAGUUCACAAUCAACCUCUUCCAACAACUCCCAAAGCCCUAAUCCAGACUGGGUGGACACCUUUCUGAUACCAUGGGAAAAGUUACCAGAGGAACUGAUGCAGUUAUUAGAGAGAGGAAAACGACCAAGUCCACGACUGAGAAUAGAGAUGGUCCGGAUUGUGGUUCGUGACAUGAUGCAAAAAAAUCCUUGCCCAAGUAAAAAGGAUUCUACUGAAGUUGCCAAAAAGAUGGUGGCGAAAUAUCCCAAAUCAUUGCAAGACAUAAUAGAUGGAGAUGUGAUUGGGCCAGGGUACCACUCUUUGGUUAAGCAACUGCAAUAUAGGAUUGAAAAUGUGAAGCGUUCUACAACCCCAAAAAUAAGAAAACGAAAGCAUCGCACUGAUGAGUCUGACACAGACGAAAUCCCUCCAGAACAGAGAGCAGCAAUGCAGGACACUUACGGAUGCAUUAACUGGGAUGUAAAAUUUCUGCCCCUUGGAGAGACCCCAGAGAGCCAGAGAGAAAAGAAAGAAAAACUGAAGAGGAUGUCUCAGCAAACUGAUACAAAUCUAGAAGAGGUCAAACGUCUAAUGAAGUUGACUUUCUACACACAGCGUAAACAAGUGAACCAGGGGGAAAAUAUUAAAAGUCUUCUGGAAGAGUGGCCAUUUUGGUUCAAAGAACUUGGCAUGGCAGUCCACUUCAAGGAACUUACAGGAAUUGGGCUUAUCGAAACUUUCACGCGGAAUGUGGAUCUGAAGGGGAAACGACUCUUGAACUACUUAAAUACUGUUGGUGUGAACAAGAACUAAAAGUUCCUACAGGCUGUGACAAACCUGAAAGCGAUCAGGGGAGAGCUGAGUGGUUGCUCUGAAGACGUCAAAGAGAUGUUGCUGCUUUUGCUGUCCUACUUUAACGAGAAGGAAGACGCAAUGUUCCGUUAUGUUGAAAACACCCUCCUGGCAGAGGAAGUACAGGUGGACCAAGUUCCUUUGACUCCCACCCUUGUUGUGUGUGGUCAAUCCUGUUUUUCCGCGAAACGGUUCAUGCUGUGUGUGGAUCAGAACAUUAUACUUGACAACAUUCCCUUCCUUCAUUUCUUCCCUGUGCAUGAUGUUUGGGAGCUAUUAUUGCUUCAACAUCCAUUACCCAUCAGAGCUGGCAUCAACCCUGGAGUUUCUGCAGAGGUAUGUCUUCUUGGAUAGGCUUUAUGCAACCAUUUCACUUUA
Molecule: RNA transcript, 3949 nt
Organism: Ctenopharyngodon idella (grass carp)
Lineage: Eukaryota; Metazoa; Chordata; Actinopteri; Cypriniformes; Xenocyprididae
Exons: 4
Source: RefSeq, a predicted model, not a curated record